GAGGAAUAUUGGUCAAUGGGCGCAAGCCUGAACCAGCCAUACCGCGUGAAGGAUGAAGGCUCUAGUAGUUGUAAACUUCUUUUAUAUGGGAAGAAACCUACUCUCGUGAGAGUAGUUGACGGUACCAUAAGAAUAAGCACCGGCUAACUCCGUGCCAGCAGCCGCGGUAAUACGGAGGGUGCAAGCGUUAUCCGGAUUUAUUGGGUUUAAAGGGUGCGUAGGCGGAGUAUUAAGUCAGUGGUGAAAUCCUGCAGCUUAACUGUAGAACUGCCAUUGAUACUGGUACUCUUGAAUGUGAUUGAAGUAGGCGGAAUGUGUCAAGUAGCGGUGAAAUGCUUAGAUAUGACACAGAACACCGAUUGCGUAGGCAGCUUACUAAGUCAUGAUUGACGCUGAGGCACGAAAGCGUGGGGAGCGAAC
RNAcentral lists this ribosomal RNA (420 nucleotides) under uncultured bacterium. RNAcentral's name for it is "bacterial SSU rRNA". It matches the Rfam family "Bacterial small subunit ribosomal RNA", at positions 356 to 773 of the family's 1533-position model. The record is from RNAcentral.